ACUAAACCGAACAGGGAAUGUACAACUGUAGAAGCUUGACCACCUUGUCUGUGUGUUCUGUGUCCCAAUCCAACAUCUCAAAGACUGUGUCAACUGUUUGUAGAAGCUUCACCACCUUCGUCCAAUCAAUUAUCAGUUUAUUACUUUACUUAUCUCUGCUUCUUUGUUAAUGGGUUUGGAUUUGAUCUUUUGGCUUGUGAUUUGUUUCCCUCUCAACGUUGCCUUUUUAGCCUCAGCGUUCUACCAGGUUUUGAUCUUGUCUGACUUGGAAUCCGACUUUGUCAACCCGUAUGAUGCUUCAUCUCGGAUUAAUUACUUCAUCCUUCCUGAGUUUAUUGGGCAAGGGCUAUUUUGCGCUCUCUGCCUUUUCACAGGUCAUUGGAUCAUGUUCUUGCUGACGGUUCCUGUUACAUGCUAUCAUGUGAUGCUGUACAUGAAACGACAGCAUCUCAUUGAUGUUACUGAAGUUUUUAGGGUACUUAAUGCAGAGAAGAAAUUUCGGAUUGCCAAACUUGCUUAUUACUUAACAAUCAUCAUUAUAACUGUCUUCAGGCUUGUAUUGAUGGGUGUCUACUAUUUAGAUUCUGAAGAUGAAUGAAGUCGACAAACCUUUGAUUUUUUAAUACCCACUACUUGUGCAAUAUGGCAACCCAUGUGUAAGUAUAAUUUUUAAGGCAACAUGUUACAUGGGGCUAAAGCUGGUGUUUUUGGACCUGAGAUAUACUUGCUACGUCUGAGCCCAAAACAUUGGUGGGUUGAGUUAGCUGUUAUACAUGGGCCUCAUACUCAUUAUUGUCAGCUUUUUGAUGCUCGAUUACCAGAACGUGAUAAAUAUGGAAGCCCAUAUAUAUAUAUAUAUAUUCCAUUUUGAUUUGCUUUAGGUUUUAGUUUGUUUAGAAAGGGAAAAUACAUAAUAGACUGAAAGAGUAAAGCAGUUUUACAUUACACUCUCAUCUAAUCAUAAAUUAUUAUGUAUG
Cajanus cajan (pigeon pea) is the source of this 977-nucleotide non-coding RNA. Lineage: Eukaryota; Viridiplantae; Streptophyta; Magnoliopsida; Fabales; Fabaceae. The record is from RefSeq and is a predicted model, not a curated record.